RNAcentral lists this ribosomal RNA (468 nucleotides) under uncultured bacterium. RNAcentral's name for it is "partial 16S ribosomal RNA". It matches the Rfam family "Bacterial small subunit ribosomal RNA", at positions 28 to 507 of the family's 1533-position model. The record is from RNAcentral.
GACGAACGCUGGCGGCGUGCUUAACACAUGCAAGUCGAACGGAAAGGCCCUGCUUUUGUGGGGUGCUCGAGUGGAGAACGGGUGAGUAACACGUGAGUAACCUGCCCUUGACUUUGGGAUAACUUCAGGAAACUGGGGCUAAUCCCGGAUAGGAGCUCCUGCUGCAUGGUGGGGGUUGGAAAGUUUCGGCGGUUGGGGAUGGACUCGCGGCCUAUCAGCUUGUUGGUGGGGUAGUGGCCUACCAAGGCUUCGACGGGUAGCCGGCCUGAGAGGGUGACCGGCCACAUUGGGACUGAGAUACGGCCCAGACUCCUACGGGAGGCAGCAGUGGGGAAUAUUGCACAAUGGGCGGAAGCCUGAUGCAGCAACGCCGCGUGGGGGAUGACGGCCUUCGGGUUGUAAACCUCUUUCGCCUGUGACGAAGCGUGAGUGACGGUAACUGGAAAAGAAGCACCGGCUAACUACGUG